RNAcentral lists this ribosomal RNA (344 nucleotides) under uncultured bacterium. Its description in RNAcentral is "bacterial SSU rRNA". It matches the Rfam family "Bacterial small subunit ribosomal RNA", at positions 66 to 389 of the family's 1533-position model. The record is from RNAcentral.
ACGGGGAUUAGUUGAUAGAGAGCUUCGGCAGGAAAUCGAUUAAUUAGAGUGGCGGACGGGUGAGUAACGCGUGAGCAACCUGUCCCAGACAGGGGGAUAACACGUGGAAGCAGGUGCUAAUACCGCAUAAGACCACGGGAUCACAUGGUUCCGGGGUAAAAGGAGCAAUCCGGUUUGGGGUGGGCUCGCGUCCGAUUAGCCGGUUGGGGGGGUAACGGCCCACCCAAGCGACGAUGGGUAGCGGACCUGAGAGGGUGAACGGGCACAUUGGAAGUGAGAGACGGUCCGAACUCCUACGGGAGGCAGCAGUGGGGAAUAUUGGCCAAAGGGAGAAAGCCUGACCC